GGUUCCAUUUGCUGUCUGGUGGGGCGGAGAUACUUGUUUGCAGCAAGAAUAUCUGACCGGAAUAUUCAUACUAUAACAAUGUAACAUGGUGAAAAAUCUAUAGGUUUUUGAGAUUUGGGAAAAAAACCCAAACUUAGAAAGUCAAGAGUGAUUUGACUGUAUUUAUUAACUGAUUUCUCUUGAGAAGCGAACAAACUCAUGCGCGAGUCU
Molecule: unclassified non-coding RNA, 210 nt
Filed under: Hevea brasiliensis (rubber tree)
Lineage: Eukaryota; Viridiplantae; Streptophyta; Magnoliopsida; Malpighiales; Euphorbiaceae
Source: RNAcentral